UAAAGAAAGCGUAAUAGCUCCCUGGUCGAGUCGGCCUGCGCGGAAAAUGUACCGGGGCUAAACCAUGCACCGAAGCUGCGGCAGCGACACUGUGUGUUGUUGGGUAGGGGAGCGUUCUGUAAGCCUGUGAAGGUGGCCUGUGAGGGUUGCUGGAGGUAUCAGAAGUGCGAAUGCUGACAUAAGUAACGAUAAAGCGGGUGAAAAGCCCGCUCGCCGGAAGACCAA
This 225-nucleotide ribosomal RNA is filed under the name Salmonella enterica subsp. enterica serovar Lubbock. RNAcentral describes it as "partial 23S ribosomal RNA". It matches the Rfam family "Bacterial large subunit ribosomal RNA", at positions 1124 to 1348 of the family's 2925-position model. Lineage: Bacteria; Pseudomonadati; Pseudomonadota; Gammaproteobacteria; Enterobacterales; Enterobacteriaceae. The record is from RNAcentral.